This 1388-nucleotide ribosomal RNA is filed under the name metagenome. Its description in RNAcentral is "bacterial SSU rRNA". It matches the Rfam family "Bacterial small subunit ribosomal RNA". The record is from RNAcentral.
UCACAUGCAAGUCGAACGGUCUCUUCGGAGAUAGCGGCGGACGGGUGAGUAACGCGUGAGAAUCUGGCUCUAGGUCUGGGACAACCACUGGAAACGGUGGCUAAUACCGGGUGUGCCGAAAGGUGAAAGGUUAACUGCCUGGAGAUGAGCUCGCGCCUGAUUAGCUAGUUGGUAGGGUAAAAGCUUACCAAGGCGACGAUCAGUAGCUGGUCUGAGAGGACGAUCAGCCACACUGGGACUGAGACACGGCCCAGACUCCUACGCAGGCAGCAGUGGGGAAUUUUCCGCAAUGGGCGAAAGCCUGACGGAGCAAUACCGCGUGAGGGAGUAAGGCUCUUGGGUUGUAAACCUCUUUUCUCAGGGAAGAAAAAUGACGGUACUUGAGGAAUAAGCAUCGGCUAACUCCGUGCCAGCAGCCGCGGUAAUACGGAGGAUGCAAGCGUUAUCCGGAAUGAUUGGGCGUAAAGCGUUCGCAGGUGGCAUUGAAAGUCUGCUGUUAAAGAGUUUGGCUUAACCAAAUAUAGGCAGUGGAAACUUCAAAGCUAGACUGCGGUAGGGGCAGAGGGAAUUCCUGGUGUAGCGGUGAAAUGCGUAGAGUUCAGGAAGAACACCGGUGGCGAAAGCGCUCUGCUAGGCCGUAACUGACACUGAGGGACGAAAGCUAGGGGAGCGAAUGGGAUUAGAUACCCCAGUAGUCCUAGCCGUAAACGAUGGAUACUAGGCGUUGCUUGUAUCGACCCGAGCAGUGCCGUAGCUAACGCGCUAAGUAUCCCGCCUGGGGAGUACGCACGCAAGUGUGAAACUCAAAGGAAUUGACGGGGGCCCGCACAAGCGGUGGAGUAUGUGGUUUAAUUCGAUGCAACGCGAAGAACCUUACCAAGGCUUGACAUGUCCGGAAUCUCUGUGAAAGUAGAGAGUGCCUUCGGGAGCCGGAACACAGGUGGUGCAUGGCUGUCGUCAGCUCGUGUCGUGAGAUGUUGGGUUAAGUCCCGCAACGAGCGCAACCCCCGUUUUUAGUUGCCAGCAUUAAGUUGGGCACUCUAGAGAGACUGCCGGUGACAAACCGGAGGAAGGUGGGGAUGACGUCAAGUCAGCAUGCCCCUUACGUCUUGGGCUACACACGUACUACAAUGCGAUGGACAAAGGGCAGCAAGCUAGCAAUAGCAAGCAAAUCUCGGAAACCAUCGCUCAGUUCAGAUCGAAGGCUGCAACUCGCCUUCGUGAAGUCGGAAUCGCUAGUAAUUGCAGGUCAGCAUACUGCAGUGAAUUCGUUCCCGGGCCUUGUACACACCGCCCGUCACACCAUGGUAGCUGGUAGUGCCCGAAGUCAUUACCCUAACUGUUCGCAGAGGGGGAUGCCCACGGCAGGACUGGUGACUGGGGUGAAG